GGGGACGCGGAGCGCAGGUGAGCGCACUUUGGGGGGGAGCUGUGCGCAUGCGCGGCGCCUCGGCGGGGUUCAGUCAGCUGAGCUGGGCGAGUUGCGGCUUCGCUCCGGUCUACGCCUCCUUCCCUCGGGUACCUCCGUGGCUCUGCUGAAGACGGGAGGGAUGGAAGUAACGCUUCGCUGAGCGGCUGGAAGGGGCUGGGCGGGUCUCUGAGGGCCGCCCCUCAGGUAAAGCUUCAUGGAGAGAAAACACACCGGACCGAGGAUCCUGUCAUUCUGCUAGACCAAAGCCCGGUUUCCUCUUGUUCCACACCUUCUCUUGCUUUAAAACGUUAAUAACCACUUAA
Centrocercus urophasianus (Greater sage-grouse) is the source of this 344-nucleotide long non-coding RNA. RefSeq lists it as uncharacterized. NCBI's taxonomy places the organism in Eukaryota, Metazoa, Chordata, Aves, Galliformes, Phasianidae. The transcript is spliced from 2 exons. The record is from RefSeq and is a predicted model, not a curated record.